Neolamprologus brichardi is the source of this 2435-nucleotide RNA transcript. It is a transcript of the gene named histone deacetylase 12, with no coding region annotated. NCBI's taxonomy places the organism in Eukaryota, Metazoa, Chordata, Actinopteri, Cichliformes, Cichlidae. The record is from RefSeq and is a predicted model, not a curated record.
GACUUCCUGUCUCGUUUCAUAACAUCGUAACUGUGUAUAAUGUAGCGUUCUCCCGUCUUAAGUAAGCGACCGUCAUUCAUUGCUUCCUGUCUUAGAAAUGACCUGCAUUAAGCGGCUGUUCUCUAAAGGACCUCGCUCCAAAGUCGCGUGGUUGAUGAUUGGUGAAGCUCUCACCUCCUGCAGGUGCUUCCAUGCUGAACUAGUGAGACACGAAUCUAGCGCGCUUCCAGUAGUUCAUCACAGCAAGUAUGUGUGUGACCUCCCACCCAAUCAUAGGUUUCCAAUGGGCAAGUUUCCCCGGGUUUUACAGUGUUUGCUCGGAGAUCAGGUCAUUACAGAGAAACAGGUGUGGGUCCCUGAAAUUGCCUCUAAGGAUUUACUGAGGUGUGUGCACACUGAGGACUACCUGGACAACUUCAUAAAUGGGAAAAUAAGUGAGCAAGAGCAAAGGAGGACAGGCUUUCCCUGGAGUGAAGGCAUAGUGAGGCGCUGUCGAUAUGAAACAGGUGGGACUGUUUUAGCUGCUGAAGUCGCUCUGCAGAGGGGUCUGGCUUGCAGCACAGCAGGAGGAACUCAUCAUGCUUUUCCCAGCUAUGGUUCGGGGUUUUGUCUCCUCAAUGAUCUUGCAGUCGCAGCCAAAUACACGAUGGACAAUUCUCCUAAUUCCCCUUCUACUAAACGCAAAGUUCUCAUUGUGGAUCUAGAUGUUCAUCAGGGUGAUGGCACCGCUUUCAUCUUUAAAGAGGAGCCUUUUGUGUUUACAUUCUCAGUGCACUGUGGGAAAAACUUCCCACUUCGUAAACAACAGAGCGACCUUGAUAUCAGUGUGGAGGAUGGGCUGGAGGACAAGGAUUACCUCUCCACAGUUGAAGCCCACCUUCCCUGGCUGCUGGAAACCUUUCGCCCAGACCUGGUUUUGUAUGACGCAGGGGUUGAUCCUCACUGGGAAGAUGAACUCGGAAGGCUUCGCCUGACAGACCAAGUGUCCCUUAGGGCUCUAUCAGAGAGAUUUGUUUGUGCUGAAGACUGUGGUGAAAAGAGGUGUCCCUAUCGCUGCUGUUAUUGGUGGAGGAUACUCUAAAGACAUCGAUAGACUGGCACUCAGACACUCUAUCGUCCACAGAGCAGCAACUCAGGUUUGGAGGGAGUGUGGUAUGUAAAACUUGCCUCCCUAAUCAAGAGGAUCCUCAGUGGGUAGCUGACAUUUGAGAGUCAAUGCCAUGGUCAUUUGUAAAGUUACAAAAAUGUAGAAACUGACCAGUACUUCAGUUACUUUGGCAUAUUUAUUUAAUUUACACAGUUGAGAUUAACUGUAGGAGUGAUACAUCUUAUGCGGUCACAUAUUAGAACUUAUUUCACUCAUUUUUGGUUCGUUGCAAUGAUGAUCUUGUAACUACAAUUAUAUUGUUAUAGGGACAUCACAGCUACCAUAACAUAUUUUUUACAUUCAUCUGAAAAAGAAGGUUUUUAUGGAACUCAGUACAGUCCUGUGGAAAAACUGUUUAUAUAGGAAUCAAGAGGUGCUGCUUAUCAAAUGCUCUUGAUUAAUUGGUCAAAAACACAAAAGCAGAGUUUCUGGUAGUUUUCUGGACUGGAGCUUUCAGCUCCCUGUUAAUGCCACAAUCUUACCAGGAGUGGAAAUUCCACAAAAUUCACUCAAAGGUCAGACAAUACAACUCUCAGGGAGGAUUUCUUUUUUUUUCUUUUCUUUUUUUUUUUUUUUUUUUUUUUUGGGGGGGGGGCAUAAAAACUAAGAGCUAAAAACUUUACAAGCUUCAGGUAGUAUCGGAAAUGUUAACAUUCCAAUGCAAUUAGAAAAAAAACUGCAUUUAAAUAAACUUCUGCAACAAUGUUGCUGAUGAGACUAAAGUAGAGAUGCUUGUCCAUAAUGGAUAGCGCCAUUUUGGGUACAAAAUACAGCAUGUCAAUGCAAAGACCACAUAUCAGCUCACAAGGUGGAGGGAUUCGGGUUUGUUUUGUAUCCACAGGAUUUGGGAACCUUGCGGUCAUUGAGUCAACCUCGAUCUACAAUAAAAUGUUUGAAAAAGAAAAGACUCAAGGUGUUGUAGUGACCCAGACCAGAUUUAAAUGCUAGUGUGGUGUGGCUUUUAAGAGCUGUGCAUAAAUGAACGCCAAUAAACAUUAAUGAAUUGAAGCAAUAUUAAAAAGAAGAGGAUUUCACUACAACGUGAGAGACCAAUACAGUCAUACAGUAAAAUAAUUGAGUUAUUGCAUAGACUGCAGAGUCCAGUGGAAAUCUUCUUCACAUGACUACAUGUUAAAAAAUUAUUUAAAAAUCCUCACAAAUCAAAUAUUAAGGCUUUCAUUUGUAGGCUGGUGAUGAUUCUAGUAUAGUAUGUGCAAGUUGGCUAUAAAGGCUUUUAGCUUACCAUUUACCAAAUUGUACCUGUGUGACAAUGAAUAAACUGUACAUG